UACGUAGGGUGCAAGCGUUGUCCGGAAUUACUGGGUGUAAAGGGUUCGUAGGCGGUGUGGCAAGUCGGGAGUGAAAUCUCUGGGCUCAACUCAGAGACUGCUUCCGAAACUGCUGUGCUGGAGUGUGGGAGAGGCGCGUGGAAUUGCAGGUGUAGCGGUGAAAUGCGUAGAUAUCUGCAGGAACACCCGUGGCGAAAGCGGCGCGCUGGACCACUACUGACGCUGAGGAACGAAAGCUAGGGGAGCAAACAGG
Molecule: ribosomal RNA, 253 nt
Filed under: uncultured bacterium
Lineage: Bacteria
Description: partial 16S ribosomal RNA
Rfam family: Bacterial small subunit ribosomal RNA
Source: RNAcentral